This 395-nucleotide ribosomal RNA is filed under the name uncultured bacterium. RNAcentral's name for it is "bacterial SSU rRNA". It matches the Rfam family "Bacterial small subunit ribosomal RNA", at positions 28 to 428 of the family's 1533-position model. The record is from RNAcentral.
GACGAACGCUGGCGGCGUGCUUAACACAUGCAAGUCGAGCGGUAAGGCCCUUUCGGGGUACGACGAGCGGCGAACGGGUGAGUAACGCGUGGGUGACCUGCCCUCAGCUCUGGGAUAAGCCUGGGAAACCGGGUCUAAUACUGGAUAUGACUCCAUGACGCAUGUUGUGGGGUGGAAAGCCUUGUGCGGCUGAGGAUGGGCCCGCGGCCUAUCAGCUUGUUGGUGGGGUGAGGCCUACCAAGGCGACGACGGGUAGCCGGCCUGAGAGGGCGACCGGCCACACUGGGACUGAGACACGGCCCAGACUCCUACGGGAGGCAGCAGUGGGGAAUCUUGCGCAAUGGGCGAAAGCCUGACGCAGCGACGCCGCGUGAGGGAUGACGGCCUGGUUGUAA